RNAcentral lists this ribosomal RNA (292 nucleotides) under uncultured bacterium. RNAcentral's name for it is "partial 16S ribosomal RNA". The record is from RNAcentral. RNAcentral also lists the same sequence under 1 other name.
GGACUACAGGGGUUUCUAAUCCUGUUUGCUACCCACGCUUUCGUGUCACAGUGUCAGUUCAGGCCCAGGUGAUUGCCUUCGCCAUCGAUGUUCCUCCCGAUAUCUACGCAUUUCACCGCUACACCGGGAAUUCCGUCACCCUCUACCGAACUCGAGCUGCCCAGUAUCGACUGCAAUUCCCAGGUUGAGCCCAGGGAUUUCACAAUCGACUUAGGUAGCCACCUACACACGCUUUACGCCCAGUAAAUCCGAUUAACGCUCGCACCCUCUGUAUUACCGCGGCUGCUGGCAC